GCGGUCAAAGCUCAAAUUUGAAAUCUGGCUCUUUUAGAGUCCGAAUUGUAAUUUGUAGAAGAUGCUUCGGGUGUGGUUCCGGUCUAAGUUCCUUGGAACAGGACGUCAUAGAGGGUGAGAAUCCCGUAUGUGACUGGAUACCUAUGCUCAUGUGAAGCUCUUUCGACGAGUCGAGUUGUUUGGGAAUGCAGCUCAAAAUGGGAGGUAUAUUUCUUCUAAAGCUAAAUAUUGGCCAGAGACCGAUAGCGCACAAGUAGAGUGAUCGAAAGAUGAAAAGCACUUUGGAAAGAGAGUUAAACAGUACGUGAAAUUGUUGAAAGGGAAGCGCUUGCAAUCAGACUUGCACUUGGUGUUCAUCAGGGUCUCGUACCCUGUGUACUUCAUCAAGUUCAGGCCAGCAUCAGUUUGAGUGGUUAGAUAAAGGCUUAGAGAAUGUGGCCCUCUUCGGGGGGUGUUAUAGCUCUAGGUGCAAUGUAGC
Molecule: ribosomal RNA, 478 nt
Filed under: Botrytis cinerea
Lineage: Eukaryota; Fungi; Ascomycota; Leotiomycetes; Helotiales; Sclerotiniaceae
Description: eukaryotic LSU rRNA
Rfam family: Eukaryotic large subunit ribosomal RNA
Source: RNAcentral